Molecule: ribosomal RNA, 1291 nt
Filed under: uncultured bacterium
Lineage: Bacteria
Description: bacterial SSU rRNA
Rfam family: Bacterial small subunit ribosomal RNA
Source: RNAcentral
UUAGCUUGCUAAGGCCGAUGGCGACCGGCGCACGGGUGAGUAACACGUAUCCAUCCUGCCGUCUACUCUUGGACAGCCUUCUGAAAGGAAGAUUAAUACAAGAUGGCAUCAUGAGUCCGCAUGUUCACAUGAUUAAAGGUAUUCCGGUAGACGAUGGGGAUGCGUUCCAUUAGAUAGUAGGCGGGGUAACGGCCCACCUAGUCUUUGAUGGAUAGGGGUUCUGAGAGGAAGGUCCCCCACAUUGGAACUGAGACACGGUCCAAACUCCUACGGGAGGCAGCAGUGAGGAAUAUUGGUCAAUGGGCGAGAGCCUGAACCAGCCAAGUAGCGUGAAGGAUGACUGCCCUAUGGGUUGUAAACUUCUUUUAUAAAGGAAUAAAGUCGGGUAUGCAUACCCGUUUGCAUGUACUUUAUGAAUAAGGAUCGGCUAACUCCGUGCCAGCAGCCGCGGUAAUGCGGAGGAUCCGAGCGUUAUCCGGAUUUAUUGGGUUUAAAGGGAGCGUAGAUGGAUGUUUAAGUCAGUUGUGAAAGUUUGCGGCUCAACCGUAAAAUUGCAGUUGAUACUGGAUAUCUUGAGUGCAGUUGAGGCAGGCGGAAUUCGUGGUGUAGCGGUGAAAUGCUUAGAUAUCACGAAGAACUCCGAUUGCGAAGGCAGCCUGCUAAGCUGCAACUGACAUUGAGGCUCGAAAGUGUGGGUAUCAAACAGGAUUAGAUACCCUGGUAGUCCACGCGGUAAACGAUGAAUACUCGCUGUUUGCGAUAUACGGCAAGCGGCCAAGCGAAAGCGUUAAGUAUUCCACCUGGGGAGUACGCCGGCAACGGUGAAACUCAAAGGAAUUGACGGGGGCCCGCACAAGCGGAGGAACAUGUGGUUUAAUUCGAUGAUACGCGAGGAACCUUACCCGGGCUUAAAUUGCAGAUGAAUUACGGUGAAAGCCGUAAGCCGCAAGGCAUCUGUGAAGGUGCUGCAUGGUUGUCGUCAGCUCGUGCCGUGAGGUGUCGGCUUAAGUGCCAUAACGAGCGCAACCCUUGUUGUCAGUUACUAACAGGUUCCGCUGAGGACUCUGACAAGACUGCCAUCGUAAGAUGUGAGGAAGGUGGGGAUGACGUCAAAUCAGCACGGCCCUUACGUCCGGGGCUACACACGUGUUACAAUGGGGGGUACAGAGGGCCGCUACCACGCGAGUGGAUGCCAAUCCCAAAAACCUCUCUCAGUUCGGACUGGAGUCUGCAACCCGACUCCACGAAGCUGGAUUAAAGAGUAAUCGCGCAUCAGCCACGGCGCGGUGAA